GCAGCGGAUCGCGAAGGGAGAUAUUAUAUACCCUGUUUAUUUACCUUUGUUUGCUUUGGCGGGCCGUCCGUAAGGCGUCGGCUCCGGCUGAUCGCGCCCGCCAGAGGACCCAAACUCUUUUAUCAGUGAUGUCUGAGUACUAUAUAAUAGUUAAAACUUUCAACAACGGAUCUCUUGGUUCUGGCAUCGAUGAAGAACGCAGCGAAAUGCGAUAAGUAAUGUGAAUUGCAGAAUUCAGUGAAUCAUCGAAUCUUUGAACGCACAUUGCGCCCGCUGGUAUUCCGGCGGGCAUGCCUGUUCGAGCGUCAUUAUGACCAAUCAAGCUCUGCUUGGCCUUGGGGCCCGCUAUACCGGCGGCCCUUAAAACCAGUGGCGGUGCCGUCUGGCUCUAAGCAUAGUAAUACUCCUCGCUAUAGAGUCCAGGCGUCCACCCGCCAGAACCCCCAACUUUCUCAAGGUUGACCUCGGAUCAGGUAGGGAUACCCGCUGAACUUAA
This 496-nucleotide ribosomal RNA is filed under the name uncultured fungus. RNAcentral describes it as "eukaryotic LSU rRNA". The stretch from base 155 to 308 matches the Rfam family "5.8S ribosomal RNA". Lineage: Eukaryota; Fungi. The record is from RNAcentral.